Transfer RNA from Fusarium fujikuroi IMI 58289, 85 nucleotides. It matches the Rfam family "tRNA". Rfam says of the family: Transfer RNA (tRNA) molecules are approximately 80 nucleotides in length. The record is from Rfam. NCBI's taxonomy places the organism in Eukaryota, Fungi, Ascomycota, Sordariomycetes, Hypocreales, Nectriaceae.
GCCCCGUUGGCUCAGUGGUAAAGCGUAUCACUAGUAAAAUCAACAUGAAAUGAUAAGAUCACUGGUUCGAUUCCAGUACGGGGCA